CGCCGCAGGUCCAGGCCUAGGUGAUUGCACGAGGGGCGCCGUGCCCCGCCUCCCGUCACUAUGGUCACCGCAACCUCUUCCGCCGCCUCGCGGCGGGCCGACAGCCAAUCACAGGCGCGUGUUACCGACGCCGGGGAGGGAUUCGAGUCUUGCAGUGCAAUAUCCAUGCACACACCGGUGUCUCUCCUACCAGCGAGAAGUUAUGCAUAACCCAGAAACGCUGUCAUUUACAUCUCCGUAAAGAGUUCUGCCCCAAAGAAAAACUUCAGAAUGACAAACACAUCCUGUGUUAAACAAUCAAAUGAACCCAACAUGGAGGAUUCCAGUGUGAUUUCAGUACUUGGGAGGGCACUGACUCCUAUGGUUUUUCAUGGAAGUACCACAGGCUGGGCUGCUAGCAUUCAGCUUUCCUUGGCCUUAAAAGGGAUUUUCUCAGGGCUGGCAAAUUGGAUUAGAUUCUAAGAGAAUUUUGUUUUUGACAAACUACCGUUUUUAGCAUAAAAUCUGGCCAUGGCUAUAAGUUUCAAUGUGUGUACAACUGAUUAGAUUUUUUUCUUUUUCUUUUCAACAUUGGCUGGAAUUGAGUAGAAAAAAGUCCACGGUGCCUCUUCACAUGUGUCAUGAAAUAUGAGAAAUCUGUCUGAUUCUAGAUACUAUUUCUUUACGACACAAUGGGCAGGUCUCCAGCUGCAAGGCACAAUCCAUGCACAGGUCACUGGGGAGAAACAAAGAAAAGCCAGUCAAGUUAAUGCUUCAAAAGGUCAAACUCCAACUACCUGCCACCUAAAUCUAAAAUGUUAACAAGUUUGUUCAUUGAAAGGGCAAUAAUUAUACAUGGUUUCAAAAAAUGAAUAUGUAAAUAAAUAAAUCUUCCAUUUCUGAUCCUCAAUUGUCUUAGUCUGAAGAACAAGUAAAAAGUUCAUGUGCAUUCUUUCAGACACUCUAUACAUGCACAGCAUAUACUUACAGAUGUGUACAUAUAGGCAGGGAUACAAUAUUUCUCCCCAGAAAGCUAGCUAUUUAUCCUAGAAUAAUUUACUGAACAGUCCAUCUUCCACCACAGUUUUAACACAUUGCCUUUGUCAUAUGGUAAAUUUUCAUUUUUAGUUAGUUCUAUUUCUGGGUUUCUAUUCUAUUCCAUUAUUCUGCCAUUCUUGUCAUAUAGUAAUGAGACCUAACUAUUAACAUUUAUUUUUAUUUUUUGAGACGAAGUCUUGCUCUGUUACCCAGGCUGGAAUGCAGUGGCAUAAUCUCUGCUCACUCCAACUUCUGCCUCCCGGGUUCAAGCGAUUCUCCUGUCUCAGCCCCCUGAGUAGCUGGGAUUACAGGUGCAUGCUACCACGCCCAGCUAAUUUUUUUUUUUUUUUUAAUUUUUAGUAGAGGCAGGGUUUCACCAUGUUGGCCAGGCUGGUCUCAAACUCCUGACCUCGUGAUCCGCCCACCUCAGCCUCCCAAAGUGCUGGGAUUACAGGCAUGAGCCACUGUGCCCAGCUAUUAACAUUUAAUGUAUUUUUAAGAUGUAGUAUAGUUGUCAUCUCUGCAACUUUCAGAAUUUUCUUGCCUUAAACUUUUAAAUCAGCGUGUCUAGUUCCAGAAAAGGUCUGUUGCUCUUUUUAUGUUGACCACAUUAAACUUAAGAGUUUAAGAGAAAACUGUCACCUUUACAAUACUGAGAGGUCCUCCUAUCCAAGGAAAGACUUUUAUUUAAGUCUCCUAUUAUACUCUGUGGUAGUUUAAAAGUUUUCUUCCCAUAGGCUCUACAUAUUUCUUGGUAUGUAUUCUUAGAUAGCUUUUUCUAAACCAUUGUAAAAGGGAUCUUCAAUUAUAUGUUCUAAUGGGCUGCUCAUUUAUACAUACAGCCAGGAGAGCUACUGACUUUGUAUAUUUUGUAAGUCAUAGUAGUGACACUAGGUAUCCUUAUCUUGUUCCCAACAUCUCUUGAAAUGCUUCUGGCGUGUCACCAUUAAAAAGAUGCUAGCAUUUGGCUGAAA
This is a long non-coding RNA of Callithrix jacchus (white-tufted-ear marmoset), 1991 nucleotides long. RefSeq lists it as uncharacterized. The record is from RefSeq and is a predicted model, not a curated record. NCBI's taxonomy places the organism in Eukaryota, Metazoa, Chordata, Mammalia, Primates, Cebidae.